RNAcentral lists this transfer RNA (72 nucleotides) under Caudoviricetes sp. RNAcentral describes it as "tRNA-Leu". It matches the Rfam family "tRNA". Rfam says of the family: Transfer RNA (tRNA) molecules are approximately 80 nucleotides in length. The record is from RNAcentral. Lineage: Duplodnaviria; Heunggongvirae; Uroviricota; Caudoviricetes.
AAAGUAAUAGCUCAGUGGUAGAGCACUAAGUUUAAAACUUAGAGGGCGAGGGUUCGAAUCCCUUUUACUUUU